AACGUAGGGGACAAGCGUUAUCCGGAUUUACUGGGCGUAAAGCGCCCGUAGGCGGCUUUUUAAGUUGGACGUGAAAGCUCCCGGCUUAACUGGGAGAGGCCGUUCAAAACUGAGAGGCUAGAGUGAGGCAGAGGAGCGCGGAAUUCCCGGUGUAGUGGUGGAAUGCGUAGAUAUCGGGAGGAACACCAGUGGCGAAGGCGGGUCUCUGGGCCGAUACUGACGCUGAGGAGCGAAAGCGUGGGGAGCGAACAGG
Molecule: ribosomal RNA, 253 nt
Filed under: uncultured bacterium
Lineage: Bacteria
Description: partial 16S ribosomal RNA
Rfam family: Bacterial small subunit ribosomal RNA
Source: RNAcentral